This 78-nucleotide non-coding RNA is filed under the name Hyella patelloides LEGE 07179. The record is from RNAcentral. Lineage: Bacteria; Bacillati; Cyanobacteriota; Cyanophyceae; Pleurocapsales; Pleurocapsaceae.
GGAAGCUGGAUGAAAAGAAAUUUUCACGUCCAGAUUUCACAGAGAGGGGCGAGAGAUAAUACUCUCCCUCGACUCUAC